Non-coding RNA from Paramuricea clavata, 370 nucleotides. NCBI's taxonomy places the organism in Eukaryota, Metazoa, Cnidaria, Anthozoa, Malacalcyonacea, Plexauridae. The record is from the annotation of a GenBank genome assembly.
GUCUAAAAUGGCCAGCAUUUCGUACAUUAUGAGAGUUGAUGUUUUUAAUGAAAUACGUCAUUGCUUCAUAACGUCCUUUAAGACAAGGCACUUUAGUUACAAUAACUGUAUUUCUGUGACAUACAAUAAUGAGCUUUAAUUUGCCUUUGAUAAUUUACAUAUAGAAUUCUGCUCUGACUGAUUCUUCCUUUCGUCCGCCGUAUUUACAUAUGCGUACUAUUUUGUAUCCAAAUUGCGGGCAAAAGCCAAAAUGUCGGGCCGUUAUAUAUGAUUAUACGCGAUUAUAUAUUCGAUUCGCGAUCCGUAUAAUGAUUAAUGUGCAUUUAAGAAUACAAUAUUAUAUUUAUUUAUUGAAAAAAUACUAUGAAAC